UCGACAUUUUUAUAUAAGAAUCUCCACUUUCUCUUUUUUGUUUUUUCUUUUUCUCUGGUCAGAAGGUGCACACUAGUAGAUACAGAUGGAAGAACACGAGGGAGAGGCAUGUUAAAAAAAUUUAGCUCGUUUUUCUUGUAAGUUCUAUUCUUAGCUGUUCAAUCCAACUUACCAAAUAUAACAAAGAGGAAAAUAGUAGUUUUCGAUUUGUCGAGCUUGAAUGCACUCCAUUGCUGAUGGAGCUUGGAGAAACAAGAAUUUGGCUUCCAGACAAUCCCACACGGAUGAGGGGCUUGAAGUUUUUGAAAAACUGGACUAGAUAAUGGGCCCCUGUAAUUUCAUGGUUGUUUUCUUGAAUUACUAUUUUCAGUACAAGGUGCUAAUUUUCAUAACUGAACAAGGAAGAAAUUUGAGAUACAAUGACAAUUACGUAUGGUUGUAGACUAUCAAAAGAACCAAUGGGUACUCACUAGGCGAAACAAAUUAUGGAUUCGUCUGAUAGCAGGGACGGAUCCAGGAUUGGAUCAAAGAUCAGGUUAACAAAAAUUCAAACCUUCAUUUGAAGGAGACAAACGUGGCCCCAAUGGUUCAGACUUCGAUCAUAUAAACCCACGUUGUAAAGAAUGAGCUCAAGAAAUGAAUAGAGUGGUGAAAAAUAACUCACUCAAUUGAUCGAUUUUAAAUGUAUUGAAAUAAAGAAUUAGUUCGAUUCACUUUGUGGUUUCACGAUUUUUUUGUAGUUGUGCAACUACUAAGAAUGGUCAUCGCAUUUAAUUUCAUCAUCUUAAUUAUGCCCCCACACUAUGUAAAGAUUAUUAGUUAGUCAGAGAUUUUCAUUUUUAAUGCUUCCCAUCUUGUUACGUACAAACGCACACAUUUGCAUGCAUGCAUGCAUGAGCUAUAAGCCCAAAAUUCUAAAUGCAUAAAAUAGUAUGUAGUGUAUUUCGCCCAUGUUUGGUAUAUUUAAGAAUUAGAUUUUUAAUAGAUUUUGAUAAAAGUUGAUGGAUGAUGUAAUUGAUGAGAAGUUAUGGAUAC
RNAcentral lists this long non-coding RNA (1035 nucleotides) under Olea europaea (common olive). Its description in RNAcentral is "long non-coding RNA (OEUR_LNC001498)". The record is from RNAcentral. Lineage: Eukaryota; Viridiplantae; Streptophyta; Magnoliopsida; Lamiales; Oleaceae.